Non-coding RNA from Triticum aestivum (bread wheat), 135 nucleotides. NCBI's taxonomy places the organism in Eukaryota, Viridiplantae, Streptophyta, Magnoliopsida, Poales, Poaceae. The record is from Rfam.
CAUGUACUCCCUCCGUCUGAAAAUACUUGUCAUCAAAAUAAAUAAAAGGGGGCGUAUCUAGAUGUAUUUUAGUUCUAGAUACAUCCCUUUUUAUCCAUUUUGAUGACAAGUAUUUCCGGACGGAGGGAGUAUAUG